CACGGCGCACGGGUGCGUAACACGUGGGCAAUCUGCCCUCCGAUGGGGAAUAACCCCGCGAAAGCGGGGCUAAUUCCGCAUAACAUUCCCUGGACUCUGGUUCGGGGAUUCAAAGCAGCAAUGCGUCGGAGGAGGAGCCCGCGCCCGAUUAGCUAGUUGGUGAGGUAACGGCUCACCAAGGCAAUGAUCGGUAGCUGGUCUGAGAGGAUGGCCAGCCACACUGGAACUGAGACACGGUCCAGACUCCUACGGGAGGCAGCAGUGGGGAAUCUUGCGCAAUGGGCGAAAGCCUGACGCAGCGACGCCGCGUGGGGGAUGAAGCUUUUCGGAGUGUAAACCCCUUUCGACCGGGACGAAUGCCCGCAAGGGAGUGACGGUACCGGUAGAAGAAGCCCCGGCUAACUACGUGCCAGCAGCCGCGGUAAGACGUAGGGGGCCAGCGUUGUUCGGAAUUACUGGGUGUAAAGGGUUCGUAGGCGGUGUGGCAAGUCGGGAGUGAAAUUUCUGGGCUUAACUCAGAGGCUGCUUCCGAAACUGCUGUGCUCGAGUGUGGGAGAGGCGCGUGGAAUUGCAGGUGUAGCGGUGAAAUGCGUAGAUAUCUGCAGGAACACCCGUGGCGAAAGCGGCGCGCUGGACCACUAC
Molecule: ribosomal RNA, 642 nt
Filed under: uncultured bacterium
Lineage: Bacteria
Description: bacterial SSU rRNA
Rfam family: Bacterial small subunit ribosomal RNA
Source: RNAcentral